GACGAACGCUGGCGGCGUGCUUAACACAUGCAAGUCGAACGGUGAAGCGAGUGCUUGCACUCGUGGAUCAGUGGCGAACGGGUGAGUAACACGUGAGUAACCUGCCAUCACUCUGGGAUAAGCACUGGAAACGGUGUCUAAUACUGGAUACGACCAACCCUUGCAUGGGGUGUUGGUGGAAAGAUUUAUCGGUGAUGGAUGGACUCGCGGCCUAUCAGCUUGUUGGCGGGGUAAUGGCCCACCAAGGCGACGACGGGUAGCCGGCCUGAGAGGGUGACCGGCCACACUGGGACUGAGACACGGCCCAGACUCCUACGGGAGGCAGCAGUGGGGAAUAUUGCACAAUGGGCGAAAGCCUGAUGCAGCGACGCCGCGUGAGGGAUGACGGCCUUCGGGUUGUAAACCUCUUUCAGCAGGGAAGAAGCGAAAGUGACGGUACCUGCAGAAGAAGCACCGGCUAACUACGUG
Molecule: ribosomal RNA, 468 nt
Filed under: uncultured bacterium
Lineage: Bacteria
Description: partial 16S ribosomal RNA
Rfam family: Bacterial small subunit ribosomal RNA
Source: RNAcentral